This 424-nucleotide ribosomal RNA is filed under the name uncultured bacterium. RNAcentral's name for it is "partial 16S ribosomal RNA". It matches the Rfam family "Bacterial small subunit ribosomal RNA", at positions 359 to 775 of the family's 1533-position model. The record is from RNAcentral.
GAAUAUUGGACAAUGGGCGAAAGCCUGAUCCAGCCAUGACGCGGGUGUGAAGAAGGUCUUCGGAUUGUACAGCACUUUAGGUUGGGCGGAAGGGCAGUAAGCGAAUACCUUGCUGUUUUGACGUUACCGCCAGAAUAAGCCCCGGCUAACUCUGUGCCAGCAGCCGCGGUAAUACAGAGGGUGCAAGCGUUAAUCGGAAUUAAUGGGCGUAAAGCGCGCGUAGGUGGUUCGUUAAGUUGGAUGUGAAAUCCCCGGGCUCAACCUGGGAACUGCAUCCAAAACUGGCGAGCUAGAGUAGGGCAGAGGGUGGUGGAAUUUCCUGUGUAGCGGUGAAAUGCGUAGAUAUAGGAAGGAACACCAGUGGCGAAGGCGGCCACCUGGGCUCAAACUGACACUGAGGUGCGAAAGCAUGGGGAGCAAACAG